GCAAUCUCGACAAAAGCCCACAUCCAAUCGACAUGGAGAGUGGUCCAUCUCCGGAGGACAGAGUGCGAUGUUGUUUUAAAUCAAUAAAGACUAUGGCUUCGAGACAGCAAAACAAAUGUUCAUCUUUGGGUGCAAUAUCUAAAGAUCCUCCCGUGUCAGGGCACUAAUUCCUCGAAACCUCUAGGUUCCCAAGGAGAAAUCUACAGGUCCAAUAGGACCAGCACAUGAAGCCCUUGAGAGCCUUAGAUUCCAGAGAAGAAUCAUCAGGGACUACGAGUUCCUACAUGAUGUACGUCGAUACCUCAGGGUAGUACGACAAAUAAUUGGCCUCCACGCCUCAACAAAGGGUCUCGUUCCUCCUGAAGAAGGAAUGAGAAAAAUCGCGGUCUUCACUCGACUACUACCUAGAACAGAACUUCUCCAUCCUAGAGUCAGGGUGUAUGUUCUUCAGAAGAUCAUUCUCCGGCUUAUAUCCAAUCAUGGGGCACAUAAGCAAGAAGUAAAUAAAUAAUUUGUUUUCUUGCCCCGGUCAUGUGUCAUUCCGAUCCAGGAAAUAUGUGGCUAUGUGCCACCGAGGUCCUGCGCCUGGAAGACAGAUCUCGCUUAUCACUGCAAUGCGAAUCCGAGAUCAAGAAUUCCUGCUCCAGAGCAGGGCAACAGAUCACCUACAGCAGAUUUCAGCAGAUACAAGUGAUCUUCACCAGCCAAACGUCCGAGUUUUGCCAUCCAUCGACAUGCAAGGCCAGGAUCCUGAACCAGGCACAAGCCUGGAAAUAUCCAUUAGACCCUUGUCUAUCUCGGGGAAAUCGACUCUCCUCCAGGUUCAAACA
This 830-nucleotide long non-coding RNA is filed under the name Brassica napus (rape). Its description in RNAcentral is "long non-coding RNA (BNAP_LNC023911)". The record is from RNAcentral. Lineage: Eukaryota; Viridiplantae; Streptophyta; Magnoliopsida; Brassicales; Brassicaceae.